This 69-nucleotide transfer RNA is filed under the name Cordylochernes scorpioides. RNAcentral's name for it is "tRNA-Gly". The record is from RNAcentral. Lineage: Eukaryota; Metazoa; Arthropoda; Arachnida; Pseudoscorpiones; Chernetidae.
UGCAUCGGCCGGGAAUCGAACCCUGGGCGCCCGCGUGGCAGGCGAGCAUUUUACCACUGAACCAAAAGC